RNAcentral lists this unclassified non-coding RNA (372 nucleotides) under Hevea brasiliensis (rubber tree). The record is from RNAcentral. Lineage: Eukaryota; Viridiplantae; Streptophyta; Magnoliopsida; Malpighiales; Euphorbiaceae.
UCGGCAUAACAAAUCUCAUCCUGGAAUCAACUUCAACUGCUACACUACAUGCGGAUUCCUUUCAUCUUAAAGAUGAUCACAGCUAACACCUUCUCAGGGCAGAAUAUGAAGUUAAGACAAAAACGAAAUGACUGUCAGACCAAAGGGCAUUAACCUAGUGCGACUUCAGUAAUUCAUGAGUUUUCUUAUCCUUACCGAUCAUGAGAAUCCAGAACAUCUGUAUAGAAAAUGUAAUUUGUCACCAGCAACAAAAAUACAACAGCAAAGCUAAAACAGCACCAACAGCUGCUGCAUCUGCUUGCAUUCAACCAACAAACAGUAGUAUGUCACCAGCAACAAAUUAUAAGCAGCCAAGUUAAAACAGCAUCUACA